GUCCUGAAUAUGUUCAUUUUUUGUAUGUUUGAGAUGACCGAGUCGAUGAUGCUGUGCCACUGGGUACGAAGCAAGUUUAGGCCCUUUGGAAGUGAACGAUAAGUUACAAUCAUCAUAAACUGUGGAUUGCGAACCGCUUAUUAUGUUUGUGUACACAUUUUUUACAGACGAAUUUCUACCGAUGAGUUCUAGUGUGGAGAACAGUGCGUAGACCAAGAGCAGCGACGAAGAUGGUAAAUUGUAUUUAUACGAAGCAACAACACAGCUUAAACCGGAAUGCGUGAUCGUUCCUGUGCACGCCCAUUGCCAAUGUAAUGGACACCGAAUCGACGGCAAUCGUAGGGGUACAGCAGUUGUACCAUCCACAUUCGGCAAUUGAUAUUACCACACUAUAGGCAAGGAGAGAUUUAUACUGCAUGUCUUCAUGCGUGGUAAGCGCAUGGCAUGGGGAACCGCUUUUGCUGCGUGUGUUUGCAAGCGGUAUCACAUUCUUUGGCAAGUGACGAAGUCAUAAAAAGUAUCUGAUAGCGCGUUUGGAAUCAGCUUAAGGUGCGCAAUCUCAAGGGAUAGUAAUGAACAAUUCAUGUCUGUUAGGAUGGUGCAUAUUGCGAGCCAUAGACGAAUGCACUGUUUCCGCUCCAUAUUCUACACCUUAUAUGCCCUAUGAUGCAUAUGUUGCUGCGUUAUGGAUCAUGUAGCGAACCUCAUGGCUGUACAAAUAGUGAUCUUGAGCGAAACGGUCUUAACAACCAGUGCAUGCAUAUACAUGCCUCACGGUGUAUGCAAUCUUUGCAAACAAGACUACUAACUCCAAAAAAAAAAAGUUUUUCUGUCUCAUACUUACUCCUCUUAAAAUAAUGUUUUUUUUUUAAAUAUGAGCCCCACAUAAUACCAAGACAAUUGCUACUUAAUAUGUU
Long non-coding RNA from Anopheles merus, 917 nucleotides. RefSeq lists it as uncharacterized. NCBI's taxonomy places the organism in Eukaryota, Metazoa, Arthropoda, Insecta, Diptera, Culicidae. The record is from RefSeq and is a predicted model, not a curated record. The transcript is spliced from 3 exons.